Molecule: ribosomal RNA, 331 nt
Filed under: uncultured bacterium
Lineage: Bacteria
Description: bacterial SSU rRNA
Rfam family: Bacterial small subunit ribosomal RNA
Source: RNAcentral
UGCGUAGGCGGUUGCCUAAGUCAGAUGUGAAAUCCCCGGGCUUAACUCGGGUGGUGCAUUUGAAACUGGGCGGCUAGAGUGCAGGAGAGGGAAGCGGAAUUCCUAGUGUAGCGGUGAAAUGCGUAGAUAUUAGGAGGAACACCAGUGGCGAAGGCGGCUUUCUGGACUGUAACUGACGCUGAGGCACGAAAGCGUGGGGAGCAAACAGGAUUAGAUACCCUGGUAGUCCACGCUGUAAACGAUGGAUACUAGGUGUAGGGGGCGUAGAGCCUUCUGUGCCGCAGCUAACGCAAUAAGUAUCCCGCCUGGGGAGUACGGCCGCAAGGUUGAA